This 200-nucleotide long non-coding RNA is filed under the name Vigna radiata. RNAcentral's name for it is "long non-coding RNA (VRAD_LNC007788)". Lineage: Eukaryota; Viridiplantae; Streptophyta; Magnoliopsida; Fabales; Fabaceae. The record is from RNAcentral.
UAAAAACAAAAUUGUCCCAAAGUAUAGGGACUAAAAACAUAUUUAAUCCUUUAUUUUAUUUUGAAUUGUCUUAGAAUUUGUUUAACAUCAUUUUAGAGUGAAAUUUAUUUAGAUUUGAAUUAUUUAUAUUUUUUAUUUGAAAAAAAAAACUUAUAAUUAACUAAGCGAGUGAACCAAUCCAUUUAACCCACCAAUUCGUA